RNA transcript from Zophobas morio, 1569 nucleotides. RefSeq lists it as uncharacterized. The transcript has 3 exons. The record is from RefSeq and is a predicted model, not a curated record. NCBI's taxonomy places the organism in Eukaryota, Metazoa, Arthropoda, Insecta, Coleoptera, Tenebrionidae.
UUUUGCGAAUAAUUAAAUGUAAAACCUAGAAUGAUGUCUUAUUCAUUUGUGUUCUUGUUGUGCCUCUUUUGUACCUUUUACACAAGUUACAGUGCUGACGAAAAGUUGUAUCUAAUAAGACAUCAGCCAUCACGAUUAGUUUUGGGACUAGACGAAAACGAUCUAGUACAACUCCAACUUUUUAAUGGUGACACAUCACAGUUCUGGACAUUGGAAUGUGCCACACCACCAACGGUUUUUGUUGUCAAUAAGAACAACGGCGAAGUCCUUGACAUAAACUCCGGUGCGGAGGCAGGAAGAAAUAUCAGUUCGUAUACAAAAUAUGGAGGUACAAAUCAAAGGUGGUACGUUAAUUUUGACGCUACUAUAGUCAGUGCAGAAACAGCUUUAGUUCUCGGCAGCGAGGAUGGUACAUAUAAAGCAGGAAAAACUAUAAUUGCAUGGACCAACAAUGGAACAGCCCAUCAUCAGUUUGUGCUGGAGACCUAUAGCCCUCCUAUAUCUAAUGAAAUUUAAAUUACAUUUAAAAUAUACGUGCAUGUUUUAAAGUACUGUUUUUGGUUAAUUUAAAUUCACCCGCUAGCUCCAUAGUACUGGCUUUUUCAUAUUGUUACGUUGAUCGGUGAAUAAAAUCGACGUGGGUAAAAUUCAAUAAUUUGUUUCUUAAUAACUCGAAUUAUACGACUGAGUACACAGCGAUUAUGUACAAAAUAAUCCCGGCGCAAUUUGACUGGAUAGGCUGAAUAAUAAUCGUUCCCGACGGUAUGGAACGCCCUUCGGCCACAUCACGGAUGAUGAUGACUCACCCAUACCUCAGAAAGCUCUCGACGGCCCAAUAUCAACAAUAUCUACAGUUCGUAACAAUAUUAUUUACAGUUAGGAAUGAAACAGUAAUUAUGGUAUAUAUAAUAGGAAAUUUUCUCUAACAGAAAUCAAACUAGCAUAAAAUUGACGACUUCUGCGAUAGUACUUAUCUUAUCUUCUGCAUAAAAGCUCUUCUCUUGCCCUCCACACCUUGAUUACUCAGUACUGCAAGCCGCCAUCAUGAGCCACUGCCACCACGAUCACGAUCACGACAAGUACGCCGUUAUUAGAAACCAAACGAGUGGCUUGGUUUUAGAUGCUAGCGAACAUGUGUUAAAAAUCCAGCACUUCACCGGAUUUGCGGCACAACUGUGGAAAUUUGAAAAUGCAGCGCCCGGAACAUUCUAUAUUGUGAAUAAAGGAAAUGGAAAAGUAAUAGACAUAGAAGGGGGGAUCAAGAGCGGUAACAACGUGAUCACGUUUUGCAAAAAUGGUGGGGUUACUCAGCAGUGGUUUGUGAAUUCAGAUGACACCAUCGUCAGUGCCGAAGGAAAUUUGGCGAUUGACAUCUUUGAAGGAAAGUACCCACCAGGGAAUAAGCUAAUAGCACAUACGAGACAUGGGGCAAUUAACCAGCAGUUCCAUUUUCAAUAUCAAUAGUUUUUCAAAGUGCAGAUGAAUAAUUGAGGAAAGUUUUUUCAAAUAAAACAUUUAUUAUAAGAAAUCAGUACAUUUUAAUACGAAAAAUAAAAUAAUUUACAUAAA